AAAGAUUAAGCCAUGCAUGUCUCAGUAUGAACUAUCUAUUGUGAAACCGCGAAUGGCUCAUUACAACAGCCAUAGUUUACUGGAUAUAUUCCAUUACAUGGAUAACUGUGGUAAUUCUACAGCUAAUACACGCAUCAAAACCCUGACUUCGGAAAGGGUGCGUUAGUUACUUCAAACUGACUAGACUUCGGUCUGGCUCCAAGUGAAAUUGAACUAUUUAGCUGAUCGCACGGUCUAAGCACCGGCGACAUAUCCUUCAAAUGUCUGCCUUAUCAACUGUCGAUGGUAGAUUAUGCGACUACCAUGGUUGUAACGGGUAACGGAGAAUCAGGGUUUGAUUCCGGAGAGGGAGCCUGAGAAAUGGCUACCACAUCCAAGGAAGGCAGCAGGCACGCAAAUUACCCACUCCCGGCACGGGGAGUUAGUGACGAAAAAUAACAAGCUGUUCUCUUUGAGUUCCGGCAUUGUAAUGGGAACAACUUAAAUCAUUUAUCGAGGAUCUAUUGGAGGGCAAGUCUGGUGCCAGCAGCCGCGGUAAUUCCAGCUCCAAUAGCGUAUAUUAAAGUUGUUGCGGUUAAAAAGCUCGUAGUUGGAUCUACGAUCCAGGCCAGUGGUCGCCCUUCUCGGGUGCACUGCUCGGACUGAUCGACAUAUCUGGUGAACGAUUGUUGCUCUUCAUUGAGUGACUCUAGUUGCUGGAACGUUUACCUUGAAAAAAUUGAAGUGCUCAAAGCAGGCAUAUGCCUGAACAUUGCUGCAUGGGAUAAUUGAAUAGGACAUCGGUUCUAUUUUGUUGGUUUCGGAACGCGAAGUAAUGAUUAAUAGGGACAGACGGGGGCAUUCGUAUUGCUGCGUUAGAGGUGAAAUUCUUGGAUCGUAGCAAGACGACCUACUGCGAAAGCAUUUGCCAAGAAUGUUUUCAUUAAUCAAGAACGAAAGUUAGAGGUUCGAAGGCGAUCAGAUACCGCCCUAGUUCUAACCGUAAACGAUGUUAACUAGCGACUCGCAGGUGUUACUUUAACGGCCCUGCGAGGAGCUCCCGGGUAACCUAAGUGUUCGAAUUCCGGGGGAAGUAUGGUUGCAAAGCUGAAACUUAAAGGAAUUGACGGAAGGGCACCACCAGGAGUGGAGCUUGCGGCUUAAUUUGACUCAACGCGGGGAAACUCACUUGGUCAGGACACUGUAAGGAUUGACAGAUUGAAAGCUCUUUCUUGAUUCGGUGGAUGGUGGUGCAUGGCCGUUCUUAGUUGGUGGAGUGAUUUGUCUGGUUAAUUCCGAUAACGAGCGAGA
Molecule: ribosomal RNA, 1290 nt
Filed under: Nematoda environmental sample
Lineage: Eukaryota; Metazoa; Nematoda
Description: SSU rRNA
Rfam family: Eukaryotic small subunit ribosomal RNA
Source: RNAcentral